UACAGGGGGUGCAAACGUUGCUCGGAAUCAUUGGGCGUAAAGCGCACGUAGGCGGUUCGUUUAUGUCGGAUGUGAAAGCCCUUGGCUUAACCGAGGAAGUGCAUCCGAAACUGGCGAGCUAGAGUACUAAAGAGGAUCGCGGAAUUCCCGGUGUAGAGGUGAAAUUCGUAGAUAUCGGGAGGAACACCGGUGGCGAAGGCGGCGAUCUGGGAAGAUACUGACGCUGAGGUGCGAAAGCGUGGGGAGCAAACAGG
Molecule: ribosomal RNA, 254 nt
Filed under: uncultured bacterium
Lineage: Bacteria
Description: partial 16S ribosomal RNA
Rfam family: Bacterial small subunit ribosomal RNA
Source: RNAcentral